This is a long non-coding RNA of Betta splendens (Siamese fighting fish), 760 nucleotides long. RefSeq lists it as uncharacterized. The transcript has 2 exons. The record is from RefSeq and is a predicted model, not a curated record. NCBI's taxonomy places the organism in Eukaryota, Metazoa, Chordata, Actinopteri, Anabantiformes, Osphronemidae.
CUCAUCCAGGACGCAGCAUGUACUGCUGUAGCACCGAUCAGCAGCAGGUGGAGCCAACAGAUCACACGUGCUGAUCUCUGCGCCUCAGCAGCCACGGGGACGGAGACGGAGAGUUCUGACGGCGGGCAGAACGGUUGUACAGCAGGCGGGCUCUCCCACUGGGUGUCGGUUCCCCCGCCACCACAAAACACACACCGGAAAAAAAACGCAGUGCUGGCUUUGAUAAUGGAAGAGAAGACAAUGGCCAGUGUGUGUGUGUGGAGGAAUCCAGGCUGCAGCCACAGUUGCUUUUUCUCCUCUUUGUUUGAAGCUUUCAAUGGAUUUUCAGCGAUACACAGCAAUUUCAUGCAGGAGAAGAAAAACAGAGUUUUGGUGAGGAGGGAUAAUUAUGUGAAGCUGUUAUCCAAGACAACAGGAUGUGGAAGCGUCGCUGCGAGGGAAGGAGGAGUGUGUCCUGGUCAAAGCGGACGCCGGCCGUCACACACUUGGUGCCUCUGAUGCUCCAGAGCCAAAGGGGGACGAGAGGCUGGUGGUGGUCAGGAAACUGGGAAAGGGUCAGAGGUCACGAGGAGGUCAUGAGGGAAACAAAGCUUCACAAAUACUCGCAUGCCAUGAAGUCAUAUUUAAAAUGACUACGACUCCAGUCUCAGGGCGCAGCCACGGCUCCAGGCUGAUCCAGCAUUUGGUGACGAGUUGCUCAUGAUUUCAGUCACAACAGAUUCUAAUAAAAUCAUCUUGUUUCAUGGCUAAAGAAAUCAAA